CAAAGACCACAUUCAAACCUUCAGGAGUUAGGGUGUCAAGAGUAAACAUCAAUCUCAUCUCGGAUUUGCUUAAAAUGUUAUCUUUACAACCCCCCCCCCUUCAGUGGACUUUGAUUUUUUUCUAUCCCUAAAAAUUCUAGAACUUCUUUUUUUAUAUUAUUAAUAUGUUCGCUUAUGCGUACUUUUAAUUUCCUAGUUGUCUUGCCUAUGUAUUGGUAACCAUAUGGACAGGUGAGUAAAUAAAUAACAUCUGUUGUAUUGCAUGUAAUCAGGGAUUGAAUAUUAUGUUCUUUAUUUGGAGUUUUCCUGAGUGAAAAAACUUUAACAUUUCAGUUUGAGCUUUGUCUUAACUUACACCAUACACAACU
This is a non-coding RNA of Pelobates cultripes (western spadefoot toad), 368 nucleotides long. Lineage: Eukaryota; Metazoa; Chordata; Amphibia; Anura; Pelobatidae. The record is from the annotation of a GenBank genome assembly.